UGGGUUCGUCGGAUUUGUAUUCGUGCCUUGACUCCGUGCUGACGAAGUACCCUAUGUGCAGCUCUGAUUGGCAGUUCCGUUUCAUGUGAAAGUACACCUACCAAUCACAGGAAGGAUUACAAAUUCCCGGCUUCGAUGCAGUAAGGAAAAGGAAACGGAACGGUGACGGAACAGAUGUGUGAACGCAGUAUCUAUGUUUCAGUGUUUCUAAGCUGUAAAUUUUCAUCAUGGUGGUAGUGGAACUGUGGAAGUCAUGAGUUCAUUAAUUUCGAGAAUGGAUUAAUCUUUUAUUUUAGAAAAUGGAUCAACUUUCUGAGGAGUUGGAGUUCCUUGAUCUGUCAGACUUGGGUGAUAAAGAACGACACCAUGUCCAGUCUGUGCUCUACUCAAGGAACCCAAAUGCAGCAUACCCUCAGCUGCCUUGGCAAGUCUCCUUGCCUGUCAAUAUUGAUCCGUAUCAGGAGUCAGUUGAUGAGGUCCAGUGGAACCACAAACAGCAAUAUGAACCUGAUAAUUCUGGAGAGAUGAUCAAUUAUGAGGCUGAAUCUUGUGACAUGGGCAUUGAAGAAGGAUGCGAAUCUGUUGAGCAGCCAGUUGACUAUCAGUCAGCGUCUAACAUGAUCCCUGCAGCAUCUGUUAUCAUGGUGCAGAAUUACUCGCCAGGCAUCAUUAACCAUGUGUAUAGCUCAGUGACCCAAACACCAAUGUAUUCGACACCCUCAAAUGAAAUCAAUGGAAGCUCUCAGAAACCGCGACGUACUCUAAACAAUAAAAUGGGUAUCAAAGGAAUGCCAAAAAUGGGUAUCAGACAUCGACAGCCGAACGUUGAUGCAGUGGAUGUUAUGCCGCAUCAACCUCCACCACAAAAUCCGCCAUAUUUCUACCCGUAUCAGUAUCCAUACUUUCCUGGCCCUCCGAAUCAGCUCCCUGGAGCUCCAAUGAGCACCGCCCAACACGCAACGGGCAGUCCCUUGUACUUACCUACAGUGGUUAAUUCAUAUCCACCCAUGUACUAUCAACCAGCCUAUUGUUCACCACCCCUCCCAAUCAAUCAACAUACCCAUGAGCCGUUGGAAAUGUCUCCUGCUGAUAAUAUUUUAGUGAAGUCUGAUUAUUUGGAAGAAGUUCCAGUCGUGUCUGUAGGAAAUGCUGUGCCUUAUAACAAUAAUGAUAACAAUAAUCAUAUUGAAGAUAAUACUAUAUUAGUUGUAGUGUAAAUAGUAGUUUAAAUUCUAGCAGUAACACUCAAUAACAAUAAUAACUACAGUUUCACCAGCAUCAAAGAUGACGUAGUCAAAAGAAGUGAAAUUUCUGAUGAUCCCUCAGAAAUCGCUUUGUCAGAGGCUGUGAAUGAUGAGAAAUCAAAUAGUGUUAGCUGCAAAUCGAUCGUCCAAAGAAGUGAAACUGCCUUCCAGCCUGACUCAUCUAGAGUUAAUGUAUCAGUCUCGACAAAUUCAACUGAACCCAUUAUAAAGGUUUCGGACAGUAGUGCAAGUGUUAGUCAAACCAUUACCAGCGUCAAAAACUCUGUCAGCAAUAUUGCAGACAUUGGUGUCAAAUCAUCCCAUUCAUUGCCUGCACACACUGCCCAACAAGCAGUUACUAAUAAAGUAGACUCAGGAAGUGCUGUCGGUAAACCUAGUAGUAGUCACUCCCCAAUCUCAAGUAGUUGCUCCACAAGCAAAAGCAGUAUCACCAUUUCCAGUGAUACGAACGACAGUAAUGUGAAGAGUGUAAACAAGGCAAAAGAAGCUGCACCUGCAAGUGUUACCACCAAUUCUUCAAAAUCUGAAAAGU
Molecule: long non-coding RNA, 1797 nt
Filed under: Bemisia tabaci
Lineage: Eukaryota; Metazoa; Arthropoda; Insecta; Hemiptera; Aleyrodidae
Description: lncRNA ENSSSA2NGG002824
Source: RNAcentral